AUACGGAGGACGCGAGCGUUAUCCGGAUUCAUUGGGUUUAAAGGGUGCGCAGGCGGCCGUGCAAGUCAGCGGUGAAAGCCCGGGGCUCAACCCCGGAAGUGCCGUUGAUACUGCAUGGCUGGAAUGCGGUCGAGGCGGGCGGAACGUGGCGUGUAGCGGGGGAAUGCGUAGAUAUGCCACAGAACGCCGAUAGCGGAGGCAGCUCGCCAGGCCUGCAUUGACGCUCGGGCACGAAAGCGUGGGGAUCGAACAGGAUUAGAUACCCUGGUAGUCCACGCCGUAAACGAUGGGCGCUCGUCGUCGGCGGCAGACAGUCGGCGGCCAAGCGAAAGCGAUAAGCGCCCCACCUGGGGAGUACGGUCGCAAGGCUGAAACUUAAAGGAAUUGACGGGG
RNAcentral lists this ribosomal RNA (393 nucleotides) under uncultured bacterium. RNAcentral's name for it is "partial 16S ribosomal RNA". It matches the Rfam family "Bacterial small subunit ribosomal RNA", at positions 523 to 918 of the family's 1533-position model. The record is from RNAcentral.